This 301-nucleotide ribosomal RNA is filed under the name uncultured bacterium. RNAcentral's name for it is "partial 16S ribosomal RNA". It matches the Rfam family "Bacterial small subunit ribosomal RNA", at positions 509 to 807 of the family's 1533-position model. The record is from RNAcentral.
CAGUCGCUACGGUAAUACAGAGGGUGCGAGCGUUAAUCGGAUUUACUGGGCGUAAAGCGUGCGUAGGCGGCUUCUUAAGUCGGAUGUGAAAUCCCUGAGCUUAACUUAGGAAUUGCAUUCGAUACUGGGAAGCUAGAGUAUGGGAGAGGAUGGUAGAAUUCCAGGUGUAGCGGUGAAAUGCGUAGAGAUCUGGAGGAAUACCGAUGGCGAAGGCAGCCAUCUGGCCUAAUACUGACGCUGAGGUACGAAAGCAUGGGGAGCAAACAGGAUUAGAGACCCCGGUAGUCCCUGUCUCUUAUAC